GGCUCCGACCCAGGUCGUCGCAGCAGCACAGGAAGCUGUAACACAGCAGCCGCCGCCUAGCGGUAGACUGCUCCCCGGGGAGCUGUCCAGGGUACCAGAGGGUCGCCGAGGGCUGAGUGAGGAGGGCUUCUUCACACAGAGACACUAGGAGGAGGAAACAGAGUACAAGGAGAACGUAUCCAGGAGCAAUUCCACUUCGAAUGAUUCCUAAGUGAAUGCCUACAGGACAGUUCUCGGUGACCAUGUCCAGAACAGGCAUAAGUGACGAUCCCCAGUACUUCCCUGAGGGACCACACUGGUACCUUGGAUCAGAACCCUGCAUCAGAACAGGCCUAAAUGGCCAUGGCUAAGAACACGGCUGAGUUGUCCUUCAACAGCAAUGCCAAUGCCAAUUCACCAUGUCCGAGUGUUCACAAGGCUCCUCUCCUGGAUGUAAGCUAAUUUGUCUAUGUCUCUUCUAAAAUCUCACACCUGGGACUGCGCGAGGAAUUUCAGAUAUGGAUUGAAAAGUUCAACAGGACUCUCACCUCUCUUUUCUUCAAGAGAUGCUUCAAAAUGCAGUCUUGAUUCUGGAUGGCUGUAUGCCUGGCUAACACUUUGAGAUUUUGGUAUCAAGAAAGAACUAAAGAAUGGUUAUGGAGGACAACUAGUAAUCCUUGCCAUCCUUGGACAAACAGUUUUCCCUCUUUUAUUCCCAUGUGGUUUGUAUGGGUUGAACAUAGUUCAAAGACAGGCAUAUGACCAAGCCUGACAUCAUCACUUUCUAAUUAUAUUUCAAGAACUGAAAGUAACUCAAAUCUUUCUAGUGAGAAUAAACCACACAACAUUUGUGAAAACUAUUGGAAAAGAGAAACUUCUUUUUCUGAGAUGAUGAAUUAAUCUAAAAUAAGCCUGAAGCUUCCAAUGGUCAUCUCUGCUAUCAAGAGGAGAAACCAACAAUAAAGCCAACAAAGAGGAGAGCAGAACUGAUGGAGGGAGAAUUAGAUUCCUGAUAAUAUCCUUUGAACCUCUGAAUCUAGCCAUGCGGAAUGCAUGGACCCUGGACUUUAUUGCUGCAGUGAUUAGCUAUCUUUCUGUUAGCACUUGCAACUGAAAGAGUGCUGACCAAUACAACAAACAAACAAAAAGAGUUGCUCCCUCCGUUGCAAGGAAUAGAUACCAUUUUAAUAAAAAGUGUUGGAGGUGGGGGGGCUUAUUUUGAAGGAUAUGCAUGUAUCAGGACUGCAACCCUUCCAAAUUUGAGACAGUCAUAGGAUCCAGUUACUUUCUUCAACUUCUCUACUUUUCUUGUAUCUUAUUUAUUUUGCUUCUCAUUCUUAACUGCCAUUGCUCUUUAUUUAUGAAACAGUAAGGGUUACUAGAAGUGAAAAAAAGAGAUUUGGGAUAUCUUACACAGGAAAGGAACUUUGGGGUAGCUCACAAAAUUAAGAAGAAGGCUGGAGAACUGGGCUCAAAUAGAAUAGCAACCAAAGAGCACAUUACACUCUCUUUCUUUUCUUUUUCUGAGUCCAUUUCUCUUUCACAUUAGCAUUCUCUUGAAUCUUCCUUCCCACUCUAAUGCCCUGCAUUCAAGACUUUGAAUUUAAAAUCAUAAAAUAGGAAAUUUUCUUCCCCUUCAGUCUUUGGGCCUAAUCAAGCCUUGUUAUUCAGUUUUAUUUCAGUGUGUAAGCUUCAAAUCUGUUCCCUAAAGCAGAGUUUUGCAAAAAUGUGAGAAAAUGUCCCAAAGAGGGUGACUCCUAUGAGGCAAAGGACAGUGAAGUGGAGCCACAUGGUCUGCAGGGUCUGUGAGGUACAAAGUUUGCAUCUGAAUCAGAGGAUGUGCAUAUAUCUGCUACAUUUAGGAAAGAGGUUGAGAGCGAGAAUGAGAGAUUUCAGUUGUGCUUCAUUCUUUGGAUAAAAUCAGAGGGUAAAAGCUCAAGGGGCUUCCAGAUACUGCCUGUAGAAAUGAUCCAAAUCUAGAAGACCGGAGACCUGGUUGAUUUUUAAGAACUCUAUAAGAUUCCAAACGCUUUGUUAUUCUCCAUGUAGGUGACUUCUGUUUUUGCCAGAAAUAAUAGGUACCAUUUAUUGAGCAUUUACUCGCAUCAUGGACUGGUGCAUUUAGAUGCAUUACUUAAUUUAAUAGUCUCAAUAAACCAAUAAAGUAGGCAUUAUUAUUAUUAUCCCUAUUUUAUAAAUAAGGAAAGUCUCAAGUAGGUUGAAUUUUCCAUGUUCUACAGAUGUUACAGGCUGAGGGAGGGGGAAAUUAGUUCAAAAAAAGCAUUAAUGUGGAGAUCCAGGAUCAGGUUUACUCAUCUUAUAAUCUUCUUGUGGGUCAGUACUGUUUAGCACCUCCACCUCUUAUCCUGCAUUAUUUAAACCACACUAUCUUAUCUCACCCAACCUUACCAUCUUGUCUUCUUCAUGCAACUGUGAACUCCUUGGGGACAGGGACAAAAUGACAAGUUCCAACUCAGUCUAGCUCUUGGAAUUUGGGCUUCAUAUUCAUGUUGGGACUCCUCCCUUGGUUUCUUUAUCCCCUUCUCCUUCUUCGAUGGACCACUAACUAUUACCCACGUUGGGGCUUCCAAGGAAGAACUAACAUUUCAUUUCCAAAUAUAUCCAGCAUGGAUUAUUUGUAAUGGCAAAGAUGAUACUAAGCCUGUUCACUUGCACAAUAAUACAGUAGGGCUGACCUAGUAAUGCACCCUCUCCCCUAAUUUUCCUUUUAUCUGGAAGCAGAUAAAAAUGACACUACUGAACCAGAGGUGAGCACAAUUGUCAUCAAUUUUCUAAAAAACAGACCUUAAUGGUAUAGGAUGGAAUGAAUGGAAGAAUAUCUAGCUAUAGAGAACAAUAUAGGGAGAUAUCUUUAUUGUUUUGUACUGAUUUUUUUGUUUCCCUUUAACAUUUUUGUUAUAUAGGUAAUAUAUCUUCAGUGUAGAAACAAUGAAAAUACUGAGAAGAAAAAAGAAAAAAGGUCCUCUAAAUCAUAACACCCAGAAAUAACUAUUGCUAAUAUUUUAUUUACAUCCUUCCAAUUAUAAAUGUAUUUGUAUGUUUGUUUGCUUAUGGCUCAGCCCAUACCUACUGUUUUGUAAAGUUUUGAUUUUUUUCAGCUUUGUAAUAGUGUGACUCUAUUCCAUGCCAUUAAACACAGACUUAUGUAAUAAUGAGCCUAGUACUUUUAGAAAGAGAAAAUAACUUUAUACUGAAAAUGCUAGAUGUAAGGAUGGUGUGAGUCUGCAGCUACCACGAAUGGAGAAAAUCUAACCUGCAUGUGCAUUAACUCAGUACAGAAGUAAGCAGAGUGACAGUGAAAGGCUGUCUUGAAAUAAUGCUUGAAUCCCUGGAUCCAGUUUUGCCUAAAGCUCUCUCUUUAAGAGUCAGUAAAGCAUAGUGGUUAGGAGUGCAGUCUCUGGAAGCAGACUGCCUCGGUUCAAAUCUUGGCUCUGCUGCUAGGAUUUAACAGGGUAAUAAAUGUCAUUCACUUAGAACACAGUCUGGCUAACAAUAGGCCCUCAAUAAACAUUAGCCAUUAUCAUGCUGAACAUUUUUCAAUUACAUCCAUCAAUAAAUUUUUUUGGCUUAAGCCAUUUCGACUGAUAUAGAUAUGUACUUUUCAACUAGACAUACAUCUUUUGACCAACUUGAAAAUUUUAUUAAAAACAAAAUAAAAUCAUUUUCUGUUCUCAGUAAUCACUUAAGACCCCUCUUGCUUUGAAUCCAAUGUAUCUCCUUGGUAUUUUAAAUGUUUCUAGGGAAGAAACCAAAUAUCCUCUCUGGACAUAGCUCAUGGCAGGUGUUCAAUAAGUGCUUAUUGGAUAAAUAGACAGAUAAUACCUUCAAACACCCCUUUGCCUGAAGGACAACAAUUUUAGCCAUGAGGACAUGGUACAACUUAUCUUAAAGGACCAAAUUCUCUGUUUAUUGAUCACCUCCUUCAUGUCCUCUCUUCCCUCUUUAUUCAGCCAAGAUUCCAUGGAUAAACACGGUAAUCAACUUUUCGCUUAUAACCAUCAACUCCUUGACCCUCUCUCACUGUGCUGUAUUUCUUGGGUUAAGAUCAACUUUCUUCCCACUCAAUGUCUGCACCCGCACAACCGAACACAGCGAAUGUACAAGCAUGACGACUAGUCUCACUUAAAAUUCAUCAUUUCUAUUCUCAAGAGGGCCCUUAACACUUCCUAGCAAUCAUACUAUGUUUCCUAGUCCAUUCAUUCUCAGGCUGUAUAUAGCUACUUAGCACCCUCCCUCCUCUUUGCAAACCUCUAACGCUUUCUCCACUAUCCCCAUCAGCCAAUGGCCUUGCCUUUACUUUACUGGUAAAAUAGAAGAAAUCAGAAGAGAAUUUUUACGACCACCUCUACUCACCUACCUGCAUCUGUGUUCAUAUACUUUAUUUUCUCUCUUGUUAGUAUGAUUUUGUUAUGGUCUGUUUGUUUUUUUAUUUUUUAAUUUUAUGAGUACACAGUAGGUGUAUAUAUGUAUGGGGCGCAUGAGAUGUUUUGAUACAGGUAUGCAAUAUGUAAUAAUCACAUUAUGGAGAAUGAGGUAUUCAUCCCCUCAAGCAUUUAUCCUCUGUAUUACAAACAAUCCAGUUGCACUCUUUUAGUUAUGUUUAAAUGUACAAUUAAGUUAUUAUUGAGUAUAGUCACCCUGUUGGGCUAUCAAAUAGUAGGUCUUAUUUAUUCUUUCCAGCUACUUUUUCG
This 4691-nucleotide long non-coding RNA is filed under the name Homo sapiens (human). RNAcentral describes it as "HSALNT0228842". The record is from RNAcentral. Lineage: Eukaryota; Metazoa; Chordata; Mammalia; Primates; Hominidae.